CUCUCUCACUUGCCACUCACCUGUGAGUUCAGCAUCUGUGAACUGGCUUUGCAACCUCCUGUGGUCUCUAAGGAAACCCUAGAGAUGUUCUCAGAUGACAUUGAGAAGAGGAAACGUCAGCGCCAAAAGAAGGCUCGGGAGGAACGCCGCCGAGAGCGCAGGAUUGAGAUAGAGGAGAACAAGAAACAGGGCAAGUACCCAGAAGUCCACAUUCCCCUCGAGAAUCUACAGCAGUUUCCUGCCUUCAAUUCUUAUACCUGCUCCUCUGAUUCUGCUUUGGGUCCCACCAGCACCGAGGGCCAUGGGGCCCUCUCCCUUUCUCCUCUCAGCAGAAGUCCAGGUUCCCAUGCAGACUUUCUGCUGACCCCUCUGUCACCCACUGCCAGUCAGGGCAGUCCCUCAUUCUGCGUUGGGAGUCUGGAAGAAGACUCUCCCUUCCCUUCCUUUGCCCAGGAAUUUUACUGGCCUGUGGUUGGAUCUGAAAGUUAAUGAUUAAGGAGCUAUUGGAAAAGCACACUAAAAGGUAGUGAGGGGCUGUUGAAGCGGUGUCAGGAGAGAGUUUAGUUAGUUUUCAUGGCUUUAGGUAACUGAAGUUUAGUAGCCGUGUGGUUUAAAACUGGAGGGUACUUGGCUGGGCACAGUGUCUCAUGCCUGUAAUCCCAGCACUUUGGGAGGCCAAGGCGGGUGGAUCACCUGAGGUCAGGAGUUCAAGACCAGCCUGACCAACAUGGAGAAACUCCAUCUUUACUAAAAAUACAAAAAUUAGCCAGGCGUGGUGGUGCAUGCCUAUAAUCCCAGCUACUCAGGAGGAUGAGGCAGGAGAAUCACUUGAAGCUGGGAGGCGGAGGUUGCGGUAAGCCAGGAUUUGCGCCAUUGCACUCCAGCCUGGGCAACAAGAGCAAAACUCCAUCUCAAACAAAACAG
RNAcentral lists this small RNA (924 nucleotides) under Pongo abelii (Sumatran orangutan). Its description in RNAcentral is "retained intron". Lineage: Eukaryota; Metazoa; Chordata; Mammalia; Primates; Hominidae. The record is from RNAcentral.